RNAcentral lists this ribosomal RNA (462 nucleotides) under Salmonella enterica subsp. enterica serovar Bredeney. RNAcentral describes it as "bacterial LSU rRNA". It matches the Rfam family "Bacterial large subunit ribosomal RNA", at positions 79 to 580 of the family's 2925-position model. Lineage: Bacteria; Pseudomonadati; Pseudomonadota; Gammaproteobacteria; Enterobacterales; Enterobacteriaceae. The record is from RNAcentral.
CGGUAAGGUGAUAUGAACCGUUAUAACCGGCGAUACCCGAAUGGGGAAACCCAGUGUGUUUCGACACACUAUCAUUAACUGAAUCCAUAGGUUAAUGAGGCGAACCGGGGGAACUGAAACAUCUAAGUACCCCGAGGAAAAGAAAUCAACCGAGAUUCCCCCAGUAGCGGCGAGCGAACGGGGAGGAGCCCAGAGCCUGAAUCAGCAUGUGUGUUAGUGGAAGCGUCUGGAAAGGCGCGCGAUACAGGGUGACAGCCCCGUACACAAAAGCGCAUGUGCUGUGAGCUCGAUGAGUAGGGCGGGACACGUGGUAUCCUGUCUGAAUAUGGGGGGACCAUCCUCCAAGGCUAAAUACUCCUGACUGACCGAUAGUGAACCAGUACCGUGAGGGAAAGGCGAAAAGAACCCCGGCGAGGGGAGUGAAAAAGAACCUGAAACCGUGUACGUACAAGCAGUGGGAGC